AUGAACGCUGGCGGCGUGCCUCAUCCAUGCAAGUCGAGCGAACAGACGAGGAGCUUGCUCCUCUGACGUUAGCGGCGGACGGGUGAGUAACACGUGGAUAACCUACCUAUAAGACUGGGAUAACUUCGGGAAACCGGGGCUAAUACCGGAUAAUAUAUUGAACCGCAUGGUUCAAUAGUGAAAGACGGUUUUGCUGUCACUUAUAGAUGGAUCCGCGCCGCAUUAGCUAGUUGGUAAGGUAACGGCUUACCAAGGCAACGAUGCGUAGCCGACCUGAGAGGGUGAUCGGCCACACUGGAACUGAGACACGGUCCAGACUCCUACGGGAGGCAGCAGUAGGGAAUCUUCCGCAAUGGGCGAAAGCCUGACGGAGCAACGCCGCGUGAGUGAUGAAGGUCUUCGGAUCGUAAAACUCUGUUAUUAGGGAAGAACAAAUGUGUAAGUAACUAUGCACGUCUUGACGGUACCUAAUCAGAAAGCCACGGCUAACUACGUG
Molecule: ribosomal RNA, 496 nt
Filed under: uncultured bacterium
Lineage: Bacteria
Description: partial 16S ribosomal RNA
Rfam family: Bacterial small subunit ribosomal RNA
Source: RNAcentral